CGUCGGUCCCCUCGCAACGCGAAACCGUGACCCGGUCAGGCCCGGAAGGGAGCAGCCGCAGCAGUUGAAGCGUGUGCCGGGGUGUGGCUGGCGACG
This 96-nucleotide signal recognition particle RNA is filed under the name Chromatium okenii. RNAcentral's name for it is "Bacterial small signal recognition particle RNA". It matches the Rfam family "Bacterial small signal recognition particle RNA". Rfam says of the family: The signal recognition particle (SRP) is a universally conserved ribonucleoprotein involved in the co-translational targeting of proteins to membranes. Archaeal SRP consists of a 7S RNA and homologues of the eukaryotic SRP19 and SRP54 proteins. The record is from Rfam by way of RNAcentral. Lineage: Bacteria; Pseudomonadati; Pseudomonadota; Gammaproteobacteria; Chromatiales; Chromatiaceae.